CAACUUUCAGCAACGGAUCUCUUGGCUCUCGCAUCGAUGAAGAACGCAGCGAAAUGCGAUAAGUAAUGUGAAUUGCAGAAUUCAGUGAAUCAUCGAAUCUUUGAACGCACCUUGCGCCCCUUGGUAUUCCGAGGGGCAUGCCUGUUUGAGUGUCAU
Molecule: ribosomal RNA, 156 nt
Filed under: Gymnopilus junonius
Lineage: Eukaryota; Fungi; Basidiomycota; Agaricomycetes; Agaricales; Galerinaceae
Description: 5.8S ribosomal RNA
Rfam family: 5.8S ribosomal RNA
About the family: 5.8S ribosomal RNA (5.8S rRNA) is a component of the large subunit of the eukaryotic ribosome. It is transcribed by RNA polymerase I as part of the 45S precursor that also contains 18S and 28S rRNA.
Source: RNAcentral